UGCUGUGUGUGAAAGUGCUAUGAUGUGUGUGAAAGUGCUGCGUGUGAUGUGUGUGAGAGUGCUGCGUGUGAUGUGUGUGAGAGUGCUGGGUGUGAGAGUGCUGGGUGUGCUGUGUGUGAGAGUGCUGGGUGUGAGAGUGCUGGGUGUGAUGUGUGUGAGAGUGUUGUGUGAGUGCUGAGAAUGCUGAGUGUGAUAGUGCUGUGUAUAAAUGUUGUGUGUUGG
Molecule: non-coding RNA, 222 nt
Organism: Pelobates cultripes (western spadefoot toad)
Lineage: Eukaryota; Metazoa; Chordata; Amphibia; Anura; Pelobatidae
Source: the annotation of a GenBank genome assembly